RNAcentral lists this ribosomal RNA (1952 nucleotides) under metagenome. RNAcentral describes it as "bacterial LSU rRNA". It matches the Rfam family "Bacterial large subunit ribosomal RNA", at positions 1 to 1977 of the family's 2925-position model. The record is from RNAcentral.
UUAAGCGACUAAGCGUACACGGUGGAUGCCCUGGCAGUCAGAGGCGAUGAAGGACGUGCUAAUCUGCGAAAAGCGUCGGUAAGGUGAUAUGAACCGUUAUAACCGGCGAUGUCCGAAUGGGGAAACCCAGUGCAAUUCGUUGCACUAUCGUUAACUGAAUACAUAGGUUAACGAGGCGAACCGGGGGAACUGAAACAUCUAAGUACCCCGAGGAAAAGAAAUCAACCGAGAUUCCCCCAGUAGCGGCGAGCGAACGGGGAGCAGCCCAGAGUCUGAAUCAGCUUGUGUGUUAGUGGAACGGUCUGGAAAGUCCGACGGUACAGGGUGAUAGUCCCGUACACCAAAAUGCACAGGCUGUGAACUCGAAGAGUAGGGCGGGACACGUGGUAUCCUGUCUGAAUAUGGGGGGACCAUCCUCCAAGGCUAAAUACUCCUGACUGACCGAUAGUGAACCAGUACCGUGAGGGAAAGGCGAAAAGAACCCCGGCGAGGGGAGUGAAAAAGAACCUGAAACCGUGUACGUACAAGCAGUGGGAGCACCCUUUAGGGGUGUGACUGCGUACCUUUUGUAUAAUGGGUCAGCGACUUAUAUUCUGUAGCAAGGUUAACCGUAUAGGGGAGCCGCAGGGAAACCGAGUCUUAACUGGGCGUUAAGUUGCAGGGUAUAGACCCGAAACCCGGUGAUCUAGCCAUGGGCAGGUUGAAGGUUGGGUAACACUAACUGGAGGACCGAACCGACUAAUGUUGAAAAAUUAGCGGAUGACUUGUGGCUGGGGGUGAAAGGCCAAUCAAACCGGGAGAUAGCUGGUUCUCCCCGAAAGCUAUUUAGGUAGCGCCUCGUGAACUCAUCUUCGGGGGUAGAGCACUGUUUCGGCUAGGGGGUCAUCCCGACUUACCAACCCGAUGCAAACUACGAAUACCGAAGAAUGUUAUCACGGGAGACACACGGCGGGUGCUAACGUCCGUCGUGAAGAGGGAAACAACCCAGACCGCCAGCUAAGGUCCCAAAGUCACAGUUAAGUGGGAAACGAUGUGGGAAGGCACAGACAGCCAGGAUGUUGGCUUAGAAGCAGCCAUCAUUUAAAGAAAGCGUAAUAGCUCACUGGUCGAGUCGGCCUGCGCGGAAGAUGUAACGGGGCUAAACUGUGCACCGAAGCUGCGGCAGCGACACUAUGUGUUGUUGGGUAGGGGAGCGUUCUGUAAGCCUGCGAAGGUGGCCUGUGAGGGUUGCUGGAGGUAUCAGAAGUGCGAAUGCUGACAUAAGUAACGAUAAUGCGGGUGAAAAGCCCGCACGCCGGAAGACCAAGGGUUCCUGUCCAACGUUAAUCGGGGCAGGGUGAGUCGACCCCUAAGGCGAGGCCGAAAGGCGUAGUCGAUGGGAAACAGGUUAAUAUUCCUGUACUUGGUGUUACUGCGAAGGGGGGACGGAGAAGGCUAUGUUAGCCGGGCGACGGUUGUCCCGGUUUAAGCAUGUAGGCGGAGGUUCCAGGUAAAUCCGGUACCUUUUAACGCUGAGGUGUGAUGACGAGGCACUACGGUGCUGAAGUAACAAAUGCCCUGCUUCCAGGAAAAGCCUCUAAGCAUCAGGUAACAUUGAAUCGUACCCCAAACCGACACAGGUGGUCAGGUAGAGAAUACCAAGGCGCUUGAGAGAACUCGGGUGAAGGAACUAGGCAAAAUGGUGCCGUAACUUCGGGAGAAGGCACGCUGAUAUGUAGGUGAAGCCCCUGCGGGUGGAGCUGAAAUCAGUCGAAGAUACCAGCUGGCUGCAACUGUUUAUUAAAAACACAGCACUGUGCAAACACGAAAGUGGACGUAUACGGUGUGACGCCUGCCCGGUGCCGGAAGGUUAAUUGAUGGGGUUAUCCGUAAGGAGAAGCUCUUGAUCGAAGCCCCGGUAAACGGCGGCCGUAACUAUAACGGUCCUAAGGUAGCGAAAUUCCUUGUCGGGU